RNAcentral lists this ribosomal RNA (448 nucleotides) under uncultured bacterium. RNAcentral describes it as "bacterial SSU rRNA". It matches the Rfam family "Bacterial small subunit ribosomal RNA", at positions 329 to 794 of the family's 1533-position model. The record is from RNAcentral.
GUCCAGACUCCUACGGGAGGCAGCAGUGGGGGAUAUUGCACAAUGGGGGAAACCCUGAUGCAGCGACGCCGCGUGAGUGAAGAAGUAUUUCGGUAUGUAAAGCUCUAUCAGCAGGGAAGAUAAUGACGGUACCUGACUAAGAAGCCCCGGCUAACUACGUGCCAGCAGCCGCGGUAAUACGUAGGGGGCAAGCGUUAUCCGGAUUUACUGGGUGUAAAGGGUGCGUAGGUGGCAGGGCAAGUCAGAUGUGAAAGCCCGGGGCUCAACCCCGGGACUGCAUUUGAAACUGUCCAGCUGGAGUGCAGGAGAGGUAAGCGGAAUUCCUAGUGUAGCGGUGAAAUGCGUAGAUAUUAGGAGGAACACCAGUGGCGAAGGCGGCUUACUGGACUGUAGCUGACACUGAGGCACGAAAGCGUGGGGAGCAAACAGGAUUAGAUACCCCAGUAAA